GACAAUUCCUCUUGAUAGCAUGUUUUGCCAUGAUUGUUGUUGUUGUUUAUUUAACCAAAAAAUAGAUUCUUCUGAAGUUCAAUGUUCCAAUGGAGUAUGUAUUUAUGUGCUUGCCUAAUUAUAUCAUGCCAAUUGCUUGAGCAGCAGGCACUGGUAAUUAUUUUCCUAAGAGUGAUAUUGAGUUUCAGUAACGUAGACCCAUCUGUUAAUUUCAGUCUUUGGUGCUUUUGCGGAUAUUUAAUGUUGUUUCAAUUGGUAAGAUAAUGGGAUGCAACACUUAUUUUACCAGUUCUAAAGCAUGACUAAGUAUGGAAAGACAGGCAAGUGUUAUUUUCUCUUGUAAACUUCUUUUGCUUGUCUAUCUCCCUACUGGUAUGCAGGUCUUUAAUUGAUAGUUUAUUAUAUAUAGUUUGCUUUAUAUAGAGUUUAUUAUAUAAAGUGAUCUCAAGGCGUUGGGCAUCUUGAUGGUAAGUGCAUUACACAUCAUGCCAGAUCAUGCAUUUUGCAAGAAUAGGCAUUUCUUGGCUCCUCACAUCCUUCAUCCAAGAUUAAUCUCAGUAUGGUCUGGCUAUACUUUACAUAAACUGUAUACUCAACUGUUAAACAAGUACACAGAAUGACAGAAGUACUUAGAAUGCAUCAUUUUGCUCAGGAACUGGACUGAACUUGCUUUACAGAAGUACUGCAUGCACUUCUAUUUUUUAUCCGACGAUAUGGCACAUAAGUUAAUGCCAAAUCCAGUGUAAAGUAAUUCUUUUGUAAGUCGGCAUCAUUAUUUUUGCAUAUGUAUAUUUUCAUUCCAGGCGCAAAGGUCAAGCUUACGGUGCAUGUUCUUUUAGGGUCCUAGGAAGAAGAGUACCUUUUCCUUGGAAUCGAGAGCAUAGGGCAAUGCCAUGGGGUACCAUGUUGAAAAGUAGGGAGAUGUGGUAUUUUGUUUUGCUCAUCUGAAGUUCGGCAUGUUUUAUUGACAUCUUGUAAGGCUACAGGUAAAACAAUGUGGGGUCUCUUUUAUUGGCAUGUUUCUGUCUUGGUAAGCAUGCAUCAAACAGGCUUAGGUUGGUUAGAACAAGGUGUGGCGGUCAAGGGAUGAUGCUGUAAUAUUAUUAGACUGCUGUUAUUUCUGGUGUGCAUGCAUUUCUGGCCGGACAAGCUGGUUAACUGAUGCGGCACUGUGUCAGUGAAACUGGGGCAAUAUUUUCAUUGCUGUAUACUAUUGUUACACAUACGAUUUCAUAGUUUGGCAAGUAUCACAAAAUUUGUGGUUAAGUCAUUUCUGAAUAAUGUUUAGUUUCCCGCUUGGCAUGCUUCUUUACAUCAAUCGAUCAGAUUCACCGCCGUUGGCCAGAGUUGCGCCUAAUUCAUACUGAUGUUAAGGAUGAACUCUCUAUUUUCUAAUAGAUCAGACUGGAUUCUAUGUUCUGUCCAUGCCCUGUUCACUGGCAUUGCCUCUUGAUUCCCCUCUUAAGUAGAAGAUCCACAGUAAGCAUAGCAAGUCCACUUGAGGAGCAAAUGUUGUUUAUCACCGCAUCUCUUCUCAUGUUGACAAGCAAGCCCGAUAUCUAUGAAGGCACCAUACAAGGCGGCGACGGCGUACCGCUCAAUACCUGCAGCCCCUGGUAUGGACAGGAAAAUAUGCUGAGCUUCUCGGCCUCGAUGACGUCCUCGUGCCUCUAUCUAAAAUGGCAGAUAUGUUUGUUUCUCUGGUGGGACUGCAGUUCUUCCGAAGCUUUGCUUUUCGCGAUGAGGAGAUUCGAGUGCAUCUUAAUUAUUGACACCUCAUUCUAUGACAAGCUCGGCAAGAAAGGCAGCAGCUGACGGGAGGAUGUACCGAGGCCUGCGGCGGACUCAGCAGGAUGGAAAGCAGCGAGCAACGAUGCAUACUUCACGGAAGCCUGCUGUUUCUCCUCGCCAAGACCUAAGAUAGCAUGAGGUCCGCGCAGAUAGAGGCACUCAUGCAGGAAAGAGACGAGGGAGCAGCUGGUGGUCCGGACGACGAAGAUCAGCUGAACGUUGGCUCCCAUGAAGUUGAUUGAUUGUGCCUCCGCUUUUGUGCCGCUUGCGUUGCUUUUGAACCACUGUCAUUUGUGUCAUUGGUGAUGUAAACUAUAAGGACAUAUCAAUAAUAUCUAUGACUCCUAAGGCUGUUCUC
This is an RNA transcript of Triticum urartu, 2149 nucleotides long. RefSeq lists it as uncharacterized. NCBI's taxonomy places the organism in Eukaryota, Viridiplantae, Streptophyta, Magnoliopsida, Poales, Poaceae. The record is from RefSeq and is a predicted model, not a curated record.